AGAGUUUGAUCCUGGCUCAGGAUGAACGCUAGCGGCAGGCUUAACACAUGCAAGUCGAGGGGUAGCAGGUUUAAAUUUCGGUUUAAAUGCUGACGACCGGCGCACGGGUGCGUAACGCGUAUACAAUCUACCUUAUACUGGAGGAUAGCCCUAAGAAAUUGGGAUUAAUACUCCAUAAUAUUAUUGGUCCGCAUGGAUUGAUUAUUAAAGCUACGGCGGUAUAAGAUGAGUAUGCGUCUGAUUAGCUAGUUGGUGAGGUAACGGCUCACCAAGGCUACGAUCAGUAGGGGGCCUGAGAGGGUUAUCCCCCACACUGGUACUGAGACACGGACCAGACUCCUACGGGAGGCAGCAGUGAGGAAUAUUGGUCAAUGGGCGCAAGCCUGAACCAGCCAUGCCGCGUGAAGGAAGAAUGUCCUAUGGAUUGUAAACUUCUUUUAUUUGGGAAGAAACCCCUCUACGUGUAGAGGUCUGACAGUACCAAAUGAAUAAGGACCGGCUAACUCCGUGCCAGCAGCCGCGGUAAUACGGAGGGUCCAAGCGUUAUCCGGAAUCAUUGGGUUUAAAGGGUUCGCAGGCGGUUUAUUAAGUCAGUGGUGAAAUCUCGAGGCUCAACCUCGAAACUGCCAUUGAUACUGAUAGACUUGAAUAUAGUUGGAGUAGGCGGAAUGUGUAGUGUAG
RNAcentral lists this ribosomal RNA (681 nucleotides) under uncultured bacterium. RNAcentral describes it as "bacterial SSU rRNA". It matches the Rfam family "Bacterial small subunit ribosomal RNA", at positions 8 to 678 of the family's 1533-position model. The record is from RNAcentral.